GGGACCGACCUGGCUUCGACGUGGGUGCGGAUUUGGACUAGGGCAUGCCGAGCACCAGUUCGCUCGUAAAACCACUGGAAACAAAGUAACUGCGAACGACUCUACGUACGCUCUCGCCGCUUAAAACCGGUGAGCUUCGCAACAGUUGGCCGAUGGGCUGGGUCUGAGGGGUAACCCAAGGACUGCGAAGUCAUACACAUGGGCUCGUCCUGCAUCGCGUCAUUCGAUGCAGGAUCAAACUAAGUGAAUCGAGGUGAUCUCAGCGUGCUGCUGCGCGGUGAUCACCUUUAAAUCCAAAUCAGUCAGCUACGCAUGUAGAACUACCUGAUGAUGGCUUGCGGACGGGGGUUCGAUUCCCCCCGGUUCCACCA
This 371-nucleotide transfer-messenger RNA is filed under the name Burkholderiales. RNAcentral's name for it is "PBB1 sp017986065 Standard tmRNA". It matches the Rfam family "transfer-messenger RNA". Rfam says of the family: Bacterial tmRNA, also known as 10Sa RNA or SsrA, is named for its dual tRNA and mRNA-like properties. Its role is to liberate the mRNA from a stalled ribosome. To accomplish this part of the tmRNA is used as a reading frame that ends in a translation stop signal. RNAcentral also lists the same sequence under 2 other names. The record is from RNAcentral. Lineage: Bacteria; Pseudomonadati; Pseudomonadota; Betaproteobacteria.